Molecule: long non-coding RNA, 244 nt
Filed under: Trifolium pratense (red clover)
Lineage: Eukaryota; Viridiplantae; Streptophyta; Magnoliopsida; Fabales; Fabaceae
Description: long non-coding RNA (TPRA_LNC004616)
Source: RNAcentral
UUUUUUUUUUGAAACGGAAAAUUUUAUUAAGCACACUCAAUAACAAGUAGGGUGGCAUUUAGAAUGGGGAAGUAUACUUUUUUCCCACCAUGGUCAAGUUGUUUUUUGACCAUUGGAUGAAAUAAGGAGCACAAAUGUACAAUGUGUCUCUCACACUAGAUCUAACCACUCAUCCUCUACAACCCAUCUCCCUCCUCCAAACCACCACCAAACUCAUAACCUCUCCACUGUAACAUAAAACAAG